GACGAACGCUGGCGGCGUGCUUAACACAUGCAAGUCGAACGGUAAGGCCCUUCGGGGUACACGAGUGGCGAACGGGUGAGUAACACGUGGGUGAUCUGCCCUGCACUUCGGGAUAAGCCUGGGAAACUGGGUCUAAUACCGGAUAGGACCACUGCCUGCAUGGGUGGUGGUGGAAAGCUUUUGCGGUGUGGGAUGGGCCCACGGCCUAUCGGCUUGUUGGGGGGGUGAUGGCCUACCAAGGCGACGACGGGUAGCCGGCCUGAGAGGGUGACCGGCCACACUGGGACUGAGAUGCGGCCCAGACUGCUACGGGAGGCAGCAGUGGGGAAUAUUGCACAAUGGGCGCAAGCCUGAUGCAGCGACGCCGCGUGAGGGAUGACGGCCUUCGGGUUGUAAACCUCUUUCAGCACCGACGAAGCGCAAGUGACGGUAGGUGCAGAAGAAGGACCGGCCAACUACGUGCCAGCCGCCGCCGUAA
This 478-nucleotide ribosomal RNA is filed under the name uncultured bacterium. Its description in RNAcentral is "partial 16S ribosomal RNA". It matches the Rfam family "Bacterial small subunit ribosomal RNA", at positions 28 to 523 of the family's 1533-position model. The record is from RNAcentral.